Long non-coding RNA from Syngnathus typhle (broad-nosed pipefish), 5204 nucleotides. RefSeq lists it as uncharacterized. Lineage: Eukaryota; Metazoa; Chordata; Actinopteri; Syngnathiformes; Syngnathidae. The record is from RefSeq and is a predicted model, not a curated record. The transcript is spliced from 2 exons.
UUUAUGUGUACAUGUGUGGUUGCGGGCGUGUGAGGAGGAAGAUGGGAUGGAUCAGAGAAUGUUCAAAAAAAAGGAGGGGGCCCGUUCGGCUCAUACCGGCGAGGGUGGGGGCCAGCGGGACGUGCGGGCCUGGCCAGAUUGUGACGUCAACAUUGAUACAAUGUUGAGGAGAAGUGAGAGAAGAGAGGGGGGCUAACUUGUAAAUAGUGAUGAGAUAAUUGUUCAAUUGAUGGGAGUUAAUAAUUAUCCAAAUUUUAGUCACAUGUUUUGAGGGACCACAGCAACAACAUUGUAUUUGCAGGCCAUUAAUUUAGUUGGUGAUGACAGUGUUUAGAUAAGUAGAUUGUUUUAUCAAAAAAUGUGAGAGUGAAGGAGGAGGUUUGAUUUGUAAUCUGGCAUUUGGGUGCCACUUUUAAGAGUCUGUGCAGGAGCAUAGAUUGUUUUGGUUGUUUUUAAAGAUAUAUUUAACAGUUUAUUUCGGUGCAGUAAGGAUAUAGCAGUUUUGAAAGACUUAAAAUCGAAAGCAAAAUUACAUUUUAAUUCUGACAUAUGCCAGCUAACAUGAGGAUGGCAAAUAAAUAAAUGAAUAAAUACUAGGUCAAAUGUGGCAUGUGUUUUAAAUUGGGCGAUAAGACAUUCACUUUCAAGCACUAUAAUUUAGCGCUGCUGACAACAAUAACUUAUGAGAUGGUAAAUCAAGGAGGAGUGUCAUAGUUGGAACACAGGGGCUGUAUGACCUAUAGAUUGAACAAUAACAUUCACCGCAUAUACAACCAUGUUGGUAGAUUGUUAAAUUACAUUACAGUUUAUUACAAAAGAUUUCGGAACUUUAUUUGAUGAUAAACACUGGAACGAGGAGUUUAGCCGUGUUAAUGGGUAGGGUGGAUGGAUUGCUCAGAAGAAAAAAAGCAUUUGAUAAGGGCGGCUUGAUAGUAAGAUGAUGAGUGUGCGCAACUGAUAGGAUACAAAAUGUUAAUAGGAAGAUUUGGGGUGUAAGGAACAAAUACUACACAGGAAGACUGAUAACACAAAGAUAGUUUUGUUAAAUUUGUGUCCCAGUGUGUUCUUCCCUAGCGCGUGGCACGAUUCCUGAACUGAGUCCUCUUACUCCACUGGCUGUCUCAAAAUCAACAGAGGACUGUCCCUGGUCAUGAGACACCUUUGACCUUUGGGAGAACAACAGAAACUGCUAUCAUGCUUGAAGGGGGCAAGCACAGCUUUUCACAGGACAAGAACCAUACAGUUGGUGGAAUACACACAGUUGCAGAUCAAAAAGACUGAAAGAACAAAGACAAGAUGGACGCAUUUGAGAGUGGCGGAUGAUCCAGCCCUGAAUCAUCAUCAUGAGAAUCUAAGAGGAGAGGCUGCUAAAGACUUGCAUGAGUCACACGAAGUCAAACUGGACACAUUGCUAAAGACUGCUGAAGCAUUACAAAGUUGGUGGAGUGUGGGACAAAAGGGAUGGAAGUGUGUUUGGGUGCUGGGGCGGACAUAUCUGAGGAGUUUUGAUAAAAGAGGGAAUAAUAAGGCUGCUUAUUGACACUGAAACGGGGAUAACAACAAAAUACAUAGAUAUGGACAGCGAAGAUGCAUUAAUAAUAACAAAUCAUACGACAGCGUGAUCAGAAACUUUGCAAAGUGGAUAUUGAUCGAUAGAAAUUAAAUUUAUCAAAACGACAGAAUUUAAUUAUACAUCAAUUGCGACAAUUGAUUUAAAUGACACUUUAUGAUAGGCAUUUAUGGUUAGGGUUAACGAUCCAUCCAUCCAUCCAUCCAUCCAUUACUGGUGCGGCUUGUCCUUACGAGGGUCACGGAGGAUUAACAGUAAUAACUAGAAUUUGUAAUUUUUGGAGAAAUUGUGUGUGAAGGUGAAGAGGCUGAAUACAAAAUCGGGGAAUGCUACAAGAUUAUGUUUAAAUUUAGAACGUGUUAAAUUGGUCAGAAAAUGGAUGAAAAUUUCGAAAGAAUUUCGCAAAAUUGGGCGUGAAUUUUGAAGUUGAAAAUUUGAAAUUUUUCACAAGUGGGAAGUUUUGGAAUAGGUGGGCAUAAGAUGAACAGUUAAAAAAUUUGAAACAGGUUGAGUCAGUGAAAAAAUAAUUAGAAAUUAGAAGGAAAAAAGGAAAUUUUGCAAAAUGUUGCCGCAAUGUUGAAAGUGGAAAUGGGAAGUUUUAAGCUAGAAAGUGAGAGAAGGUGAAUUGGAAAGUGAAAGAAGGUUAAUUGGAGGAAUUAUGUGGAAGAAAAUGAGAAAUAUUGAAUGUGCCAUGAAGAAUGAAUGGUGAAAUAUUGGCUUAAAAUUUGUAAAUUUCUCGAAAAUCGUAAAUAUUUAGAAUAUUUGGUAUUAAUAUUUGGAAUGUGUUAAAAGUGGAAUGAAGUGAAUCAGACAAUUUAAAGUACAGGAACAAUAAGUGUGAGGGCCACAAUGAUGAUCAUGACAGCAAAAAUAUUCCUAAUUGGUUUUGAUAGGUAGAAAGGGGGAGCGUGGAAGGUUUUCAAACUUUGUGAUAUAGCGUGACUCCAUUAUCAAAAGUAAGCAUUUAAUUUUAAGAAUUGGCAUCAACAAAAAUGAGAACGAUAAUCUUCAAGGUGAUAGCGUAAGUGGCAGGAGGAAGCUGUGUAUAUUGUUUUUAAACAUUAUUUUUGGUAUCAUUAUUUUUUAGGAGGGUCAGUUAUGCUUGUGAGAAGAUGACUGAGGGAACAAGGUAACAGUAAAAGGGAGUGCUCUAUAAAUUGUUGGUUCUUUGCCAGAGGUAGUUAUUUGGAGGGAUGAAUUUAAACGGAAAGCAAAAUGGAACUGUUUAGUAGAAGAAAUAUGGGAAUGUGGAAAUAUUGAAGUUACAGCUCAACACAAAGUGUCAAAUAGUCUAAGUGAGAGAUGUGAGCAAACUAAAUGGGGAGUUAAAUCAUGUUCCAGCAUUAUGCAUAUUGGCAAACGAGGAGAGGACAGGAAACCAGACAAUUAGAUAUUAAUUUUGGAUUUAAAAUAAAAAAGGGAAAUUUUAAUUGAGGAGAAUAUUUUGUGUAGGGACGGUUCCUUUUUACAAUUUAAUAUUGUAUGUUUUUCUGUGUGUGUUGUGGAAUGACAGUUUGUCUGUAAUGGUGUAUGAAUGUCAAGUCUGUGCUUGUGGUGUGGUGUUUGUGUAUUGUGAAUGGUUGACAUGAUUCAAAGUUGGGGUGAUGUGAUCACAGCAGAGGAUAACAUUCCUCUCACCUGAAAAAUAUAAAGAUACUACAGAUUUGAAAGAGCAUGAUUGAUCAGGACUAAUUUUUGACUAAAUAUGGGUUUAGGAUUACUCAGGGGCACCAUCGACAACAAAACAGUGCGAUGGAGAAGGCCCAUUUCAGUAAUAUGGUUAGACAAGACAGAACUGUUAUGGAACAUUAAGACUUUGGACGAUUUGAUGUGUGACGACUUUGAGCUCACCCGACGGGGUGACGGACUAGGUGGACAGUGACCAAGUGUUUGACGCUUGAGCUUGCUUGCGACAAGUGCACGCUCUGCUUUGUUUUUCUGUGUGACUUAAUUUUUUGCAGCAGCAACAGCCACCAGCCAAGGAGCGGAUUGCGCGCUGCUUGCGUAACUUGUUUUCGUUCUUGCAGGUUGUCGAUUGCGUUCGUGGAAAAUUUGUAUUGAAUUUACAAGAAUAUGUUAACCCUUGCCCUUUUGGUUUUUAUGAUGAACUUGUUGAUGACAUGGUUUUCAGGACAUGAUCCGCGGGCGCCAGGAUUCAUUUUAUGACUGUUUUUAUUCUGAUACUUGAUGUCUGUUUUUGUACAAAUGUCCGCUGUCAGCAGGGCUAUAAGCUCACUGACAGGAGUGCGAUGAUUUUUGUUUGUGUCGCCGAGCGUGUGGUGGACGAGCUAGAGGUUCCGCGGGCCUGACUACAAUGAGUGUGGUGAUGAGAGGGGAUGCUUAGCAGGUUCCUUUUGAUACAUAAUGACACAUUGGGUGAAUGUGUCAAAAGGGGGAGUGGUAAGAUAGAAUUGGGUGAGUAGGUUGUAAAAUACAAAUGGGUGAGUAGGUUGUAAAAUACAAAUGGGCGAGUAGGUUUCAAUUUGUAAUUUUGAUAUCCAAAGUUUUUUUUCCAAAUCCACUUGUUUUUAAGCUUUAACAGGACAUGCCAGAAUUCAACUAGCAGUGAUGGAAGGAGCAGAGGAAGACCAGUGACAACUGGUUGUGGUGUGGUGACAACAAAUUAUAGCAUCACUUGCCAAAGGAUGCAUAGGGUAUCUGUGCCCUCGUGUCUUUGAUAAUGCCUGUAGUGGUUGUCCCCAUUGAAACACAGAAUCUCAAUUGGAACAUGGAGUCCCCACUGGCGGGGCUCCUGAAGUGAGCCAAAAGAGACGUCUUGCCCCCAUGGUUGAGCGACAACGAUCCAACAUAUAUUGACGCCAUAGGUGUGCCAGAUAAGUAUGAAUUCGUUAAUCAAGUGUCCUCGGGAUUCAAAAGCAUUUUCCUAUGGAUCACCCCCAAUAAAAAUGUAUCAUUUACAGCGGUCCAUGAACAAUUGGCAUUGAUGUCGUUCCAAAAUAGAAUUGCGUUGGACAUGCUAUUGGCUAAGGAACAUGGUGUGUGCGGAAUGUUUGGUGAUGCAUGUUGUACUUUCAUCCCCAACAACACAGCGCCAGGGGGCCGACUGACCCAGGCGGGAAGAAAGGACCGACAGCAUGCUGGUCGCUGCUUGCUAGAGUAACGGGUGAUGACCUCAUAAAUGAGGUCAUGAGAGGGAAUAAAGGGAAAUGUACUUUCGGCAGUUUGCAAACACAUUUGAUUAAGGCUCCGUUAGACACAUAUAACCAUAUCAAUAUAAUUUCUAGUAGUAGUGUGGUUGCUUAAUAAGUGGAAAGGAAUGUGCAGGCUACAUGAAUUUGUUUUCUUCAAAGUAUUGUGGAACAGGAGGUCCGGAAAGGGAGCAUAUCUCAAGGCCGAUGGGAACGCGAAAAACAACUCGUCUUUGUGGUCCAGACACCUGUGCUGAGCAGGGGAAAACCCAAACGAGGAGGAGAUGACCACAGACCAUCGACCAAUCACCACACAAUCUUUUGCAUGUUUGAAUAUUCAUAUUGUGUUUCUUUAAAACUGGGCAACCCGGAAGAAUGUGUCGUCUUUCUGGUCACGAAGGCACACGAGUUUUUGUGUUAAGGACCCAAGACCCAGGCGCCUGUAUUAGCUUGCUUUGUCAAGAUUAAACAAUUGGUAAAUUCGG